UGAGUAACACGUAUCCAACCUGCCGUCUACUCUUGGACAGCCUUCUGAAAGGAAGAUUAAUACAAGAUGGCAUCAUGAGUCCGCAUGUUCACAUGAUUAAAGGUAUUCCGGUAGACGAUGGGGAUGCGUUCCAUUAGAUAGUAGGCGGGGUAACGGCCCACCUAGUCUUCGAUGGAUAGGGGUUCUGAGAGGAAGGUCCCCCACAUUGGGACUGAGACACGGCCCAA
Molecule: ribosomal RNA, 227 nt
Filed under: uncultured bacterium
Lineage: Bacteria
Description: partial 16S ribosomal RNA
Rfam family: Bacterial small subunit ribosomal RNA
Source: RNAcentral